GACGAGCGCUGGCGGCGUGCUUAACACAUGCAAGUCGAACGGAAAGGCCCUGCUUUUGUGGGGUGCUCGAGUGGCGAACGGGUGAGUAACACGUGAGUAACCUGCCCUUGACUUUGGGAUAACUUCAGGAAACUGGGGCUAAUACCGGAUAGGAGCUCCUGCUGCAUGGUGGUGGUUGGAAAGUUUCGGCGGUUGGGGAUGGACUCGCGGCUUAUCAGCUUGUUGGUGGGGUAGUGGCUUACCAAGGCUUUGACGGGUAGCCGGCCUGAGAGGGUGACCGGCCACAUUGGGACUGAGAUACGGCCCAGACUCCUACGGGAGGCAGCAGUGGGGAAUAUUGCACAAUGGGCGGAAGCCUGAUGCAGCAACGCCGCGUGCGGGAUGACGGCCUUCGGGUUGUAAACCGCUUUCGCCUGUGACGAAGCGUGAGUGACGGUAAUGGGUAAAGAAGCACCGGCUAACUACGUG
This 468-nucleotide ribosomal RNA is filed under the name uncultured bacterium. Its description in RNAcentral is "partial 16S ribosomal RNA". It matches the Rfam family "Bacterial small subunit ribosomal RNA", at positions 28 to 507 of the family's 1533-position model. The record is from RNAcentral.